AAACAACAGCAGAAAAAAAAAAAAAAAAAAAACAAAAAAAAAAAAGAAAAAAAAAAAACAAUAAAUUAGGUAUCAGCACAGCUUUCUAAAUGUUCUAGAACAAUUACUUGCAAGACAAAAAAUCACAGCUCUGGUACUUAGAAUCUUGUCUUUUUU
Oxyura jamaicensis (ruddy duck) is the source of this 156-nucleotide long non-coding RNA. RefSeq lists it as uncharacterized. The transcript has 3 exons. The record is from RefSeq and is a predicted model, not a curated record. NCBI's taxonomy places the organism in Eukaryota, Metazoa, Chordata, Aves, Anseriformes, Anatidae.